Molecule: long non-coding RNA, 474 nt
Organism: Portunus trituberculatus (swimming crab)
Lineage: Eukaryota; Metazoa; Arthropoda; Malacostraca; Decapoda; Portunidae
Exons: 3
Source: RefSeq, a predicted model, not a curated record
GGCCGUAUGCUCGUCUCUCAACAUCAUCCUUAAGUAAAUACUUGGAUUUCCCAAGGCUAAACGCAUUGGUUAGGUGGAGAUGUGGCACCAGCGCCCAUGUUCCAACGCUUUCAGCUGAGCCCAGGGAGAAGUGGAGCGAAUAGAUCACCAAGUCAACUGUUAUCACAUCUGUAUUUCGUACAUAAGACCUCACCAUGGAUGAAUUUACUGAUAUCCAUGACCUGGAGGAAUUAGAGGCUGUGGAAGAGCUGGGGCCUCACAGAUGGCUACUGCAAGAAAUCUCUUCCCUUCGACAUUGAUGAGCCAGAAAAUGUUCAACACCAUCAUGAUACUGCCCCACCAGUACCAGCUUCAGGUUUUAAUGUAGCCCAUGUCAUUGAGAAUCAUUUCUCAUUUCUGAUGUGUGUGUGUGUGUGUGUGUGUGUGUGUGUGUGUGUGUGUGUGUGUGUGUGUGUGUGUGUGUGUGUGUCUUCA